Molecule: non-coding RNA, 102 nt
Organism: Cytidiella melzeri
Lineage: Eukaryota; Fungi; Basidiomycota; Agaricomycetes; Polyporales; Irpicaceae
Source: the annotation of a GenBank genome assembly
GCCCGCCUAGCUCAAUCGGAUAGAGCGUCAGACUCUUACGAGUGCGGGUGGAAACAAGAUCCUGUGAUCUGAAGGCUGCGAGUUCGACCCUCGCGGUGGGCU